CCUACGGGGGGCAGCAGUGAGGAAUAUUGGUCAAUGGCCGAGAGGCUGAACCAGCCAAGUCGCGUGAGGGAAGACGGCCCUACGGGUUGUAAACCUCUUUUGUCGGGGAGCAAAGCGCGGCACGUGUGACUCCUUGAGAGUACCCGGAGAAAAAGCAUCGGCUAACUCCGUGCCAGCAGCCGCGGUAAUACGGAGGAGGCGAGCGUUAUCCGGAUUUAUUGGGUUAAAAGGGUGCGCAGGCGGGGGGGCAAGUCUGCGGUCAAAUGGCGGGGCUCAACCCCGUACUGCCGUUGAAACUGCAGACCUAGAGUGUGCGAGAAGUAUGCGGAAUGCGUGGUGUAGCGGUGAAAUGCGUAGAUAUCACGCAGAACUCCGAUGGCGAAGGCAGCAUACCGGCG
Molecule: ribosomal RNA, 398 nt
Filed under: uncultured bacterium
Lineage: Bacteria
Description: partial 16S ribosomal RNA
Rfam family: Bacterial small subunit ribosomal RNA
Source: RNAcentral